CGGCUCAGUAACACGUGGACAACCUACCCUUAGGUCGGGGAUAAACCCGGGAAACUGGGUAUAAUACCCGAUAGAUCUCGACUGCUGGAAUGCAUCGAGAUCCAAAGCUCCGGCGCCUAAGGAUGGGUCUGCGGCCUAUCAGGUAGUAGUGGGUGUAGCGUACCUACUGGCCUACGACGGGUACGGGUUGUGAGAGCAAGAGCCCGGAGAUGGAUUCUGAGACACGAAUCCAGGCCCUACGGGGUGCAGCAGGCGCGAAAACUUUACAAUGCUGGAAACAGCGAUAAGGGGACCUCGAGUGCCAGGUUACAAAUCUGGCUGUCGUGAUGCCUAAAAAGCAUUGCAUAGCAAGGGCCGGGCAAGACCGGUGCCAGCCGCCGCGGUAACACCGGCGGCUCGAGUGGUAACCGUUAUUAUUGGGUCUAAAGGGUCUGUAGCCGGCCGGAGAAGUCUCUUGGGAAAUCCAGCAGCUCAACUGUUGGGCUUUCAGGAGAUACUGUCUGGCUCGAGGCCGGGAGAGGUGAGAGGUACUUCAGGGGUAGGGGUGAAAUCUUGUAAUCCUUGAAGGACCACCAGUGGCGAAGGCGUCUCACCAGAACGGACCUGACGGCAAGGGACGAAAGCUAGGGGCACGAACCGGAUUAGAUACCCGGGUAGUCCUAGCCGU
RNAcentral lists this ribosomal RNA (667 nucleotides) under uncultured Methanosaeta sp. RNAcentral's name for it is "bacterial SSU rRNA". It matches the Rfam family "Archaeal small subunit ribosomal RNA", at positions 83 to 754 of the family's 1478-position model. The record is from RNAcentral. Lineage: Archaea; Methanobacteriati; Methanobacteriota; Methanomicrobia; Methanotrichales; Methanotrichaceae.